This 237-nucleotide long non-coding RNA is filed under the name Prunus persica (peach). RNAcentral describes it as "long non-coding RNA (PPER_LNC002532)". Lineage: Eukaryota; Viridiplantae; Streptophyta; Magnoliopsida; Rosales; Rosaceae. The record is from RNAcentral.
UAGGUUAGGAGCCAUUGUAGGCUUGCACUUCUCAAGUGGCGGAGAAGAUCAUGGGAUUCUGGAAGUUUUCCCACAACGACACUUUCCUAGUUUAUAGGAUAGUGGUUGCAAUCUCUUCCUUGAAAGAUGCAAACCCCUGCGAAUCCAUGGGCUUAUCGGAUUGUUGAGUCGUGGCUGAGCAGUGCAACUCUACUUAGGAGGAGAUGCUCAGCUGAUUCUGAUUAAGCCUUGUUGGGC